UUAUGUGAUCGUCUCUCGCAUAUCAAUAAGCGGAGGAAAAGAAACUAACAAGGAUUCCCCUAGUAACGGCGAGUGAAGCGGGAAGAGCUCAAAUUUGAAAUCUUAAAGGGUUUCCCUUUACGAAUUGUAGUUUAAAGAAGUGUUUUCUGUUGAGGUUUUGGUAAAAGUUCUUUGGAAUAGGACAUCAUAGAGGGUGAGAAUCCCGUAUUUGACCUUUACUUUCAACUUUGUGAUACACUUUCAAAGAGUCGGAUUGUUUGGGAAUGCAGUCCAAAAUGGGUGGUAAAUUUCAUCUAAAGCUAAAUAUUGGCGAGAGACCGAUAGCGAACAAGUACCGUGAGGGAAAGAUGAAAAGAACUUUGAAAAGAGAGUUAAACAGUACGUGAAAUUGUCAAAAGGGAAGCGUUUGACACCAGUGUUGUUUUUCUGAAAAUCAAUUAAAGAACUGUUUAUGCUAAGUUGUUUAGACUUUAUCAGCUAACUGUUUAGUUUUGAGCUUUUCUUUAAUGCACUUUUCAGUUAACAAGUCAACAUCAAUUUCUUUUGCUGUAAAAAAGCUUGAGGAAGGUGGCUUGAGAUUCGUCUUAAGUGUUUAUAGCCUCUUGCCUAUGCAGUCGGAGAGAUUGAGGUCUGCAGCGUAGAUCCUUCGGGGCUAAAUGCAUUUGUGCUAAGUUAUAGCAUUUUCAUAGACAACUUGUUGACUAUGAUUUGUCUUGUAGCUUACUCGCUUAUGUUAUUUUACCUACGCUUAGGAUGUUGAGUCAUCACACAUCUCU
This 776-nucleotide ribosomal RNA is filed under the name uncultured Neocallimastigales. Its description in RNAcentral is "partial large subunit ribosomal RNA". It matches the Rfam family "Eukaryotic large subunit ribosomal RNA", at positions 24 to 614 of the family's 3401-position model. Lineage: Eukaryota; Fungi; Neocallimastigomycota; Neocallimastigomycetes; Neocallimastigales. The record is from RNAcentral.